GAUGAACGCUGGCGGCGUGCCUAAUACAUGCAAGUCGAGCGAACGGACGAGAAGCUUGCUUCUCUGAUGUUAGCGGCGGACGGGUGAGUAACACGUGGAUAACCUACCUAUAAGACUGGGAUAACUUCGGGAAACCGGAGCUAAUACCGGAUAAUAUUUUGAACCGCAUGGUUCAAAAGUGAAAGACGGUCUUGCUGUCACUUAUAGAUGGAUCCGCGCUGCAUUAGCUAGUUGGUAAGGUAACGGCUUACCAAGGCAACGAUGCAUAGCCGACCUGAGAGGGUGAUCGGCCACACUGGAACUGAGACACGGUCCAGACUCCUACGGGAGGCAGCAGUAGGGAAUCUUCCGCAAUGGGCGAAAGCCUGACGGAGCAACGCCGCGUGAGUGAUGAAGGUCUUCGGAUCGUAAAACUCUGUUAUUAGGGAAGAACAUAUGUGUAAGUAACUGUGCACAUCUUGACGGUACCUAAUCAGAAAGCCACGGCUAACUACGUGCCAGCAGCCGCGGUAAUACGUAGGUGGCAAGCGUUAUCCGGAAUUAUUGGGCGUAAAGCGCGCGUAGGCGGUUUUUUAAGUCUGAUGUGAAAGCCCACGGCUCAGCCGUGGAGGGUCAUUGGAAACUGGAAAACUUGAGUGCAGAAGAGGAAAGUGGAAUUCCAUGUGUAGCGGUGAAAUGCGCAGAGAUAUGGAGGAACACCAGUGGCGAAGGCGACUUUCUGGUUCUGUAACUGACGCUGAUGUGCGAAAGCGUGGGGAUCAAACAGGAUUAGAUACCCUGGUAGUCCACGCCGUAAACGAUGAGUGCUAAGUGUUAGGGGGUUUCCGCCCCUUAGUGCUGCAGCUAACGCAUUAAGCACUCCGCCUGGGGAGUACGACCGCAAGGUUGAAACUCAAAGGAAUUGACGGGGACCCGCACAAGCGGUGGAGCAUGUGGUUUAAUUCGAAGCAACGCGAAGAACCUUACCAAAUCUUGACAUCCUUUGACAACUCUAGAGAUAGAGCCUUCCCCUUCGGGGGACAAAGUGACAGGUGGUGCAUGGUUGUCGUCAGCUCGUGUCGUGAGAUGUUGGGUUAAGUCCCGCAACGAGCGCAACCCUUAAGCUUAGUUGCCAUCAUUAAGUUGGGCACUCUAAGUUGACUGCCGGUGACAAACCGGAGGAAGGUGGGGAUGACGUCAAAUCAUCAUGCCCCUUAUGAUUUGGGCUACACACGUGCUACAAUGGACAAUACAAAGGGCAGCGAAACCGCGAGGUCAAGCAAAUCCCAUAAAGUUGUUCUCAGUUCGGAUUGUAGUCUGCAACUCGACUACAUGAAGCUGGAAUCGCUAGUAAUCGUAGAUCAGCAUGCUACGGUGAAUACGUUCCCGGGUCU
Molecule: ribosomal RNA, 1373 nt
Filed under: uncultured bacterium
Lineage: Bacteria
Description: bacterial SSU rRNA
Rfam family: Bacterial small subunit ribosomal RNA
Source: RNAcentral